This 601-nucleotide long non-coding RNA is filed under the name Helianthus annuus (common sunflower). Lineage: Eukaryota; Viridiplantae; Streptophyta; Magnoliopsida; Asterales; Asteraceae. The record is from RNAcentral.
GCCUACAACAAGAAGAAUUGUGCAGUUUUCAAAUGGGAAGGACCAAAUGCCCGUGUCGUGUACAUUGAUGAAGGGUUUGAUCUUUUUCAUGUUGGACAUGUUGAAGUAUGUAGCUUGUUGAUUUCUUAUCUUUAUGACUCAUUAUGAUGGUCCAUUAGAUAUGUUCACCCUCAUCUCUUUUCAAACUUUUGGCACCUCCGAAAGGUAGAGCUUUUAGAAGGCUUGAAAUUGUUUCUCCGCACCUACAUUUUUGAAAGUCACACAUCGAAACACAUGUUCAGUAAAGUGUGUUGGAUAACAUCUUUUUAUACGCCUAAGACGAACCUGGAUGGAAUCCAGUUGGUUCGUGCCAUUAUGUACACAAAGUUUUUGAUGACUUUGUAAAAUGGAGGUGGCAGCCAUUUGGAUGUAUAUUAUGGUGGUGGAGCUCCUCCACCAUUCUUUCCCUCGAUUGUUGCAUCUCCAACUCCUCAUUUAUCAUCAUCAAUCAAAGUUAGUUAGUUAUUUGUUUGUUAGAUUUUGAGAUUAAUAGAUAUACUGAUGUAUGCUUAUGCAACUUAUUUUUGCAAUCUAUGAUGCCACCAUCUGGAGCUUGAGUUCC